GCACAGCACAGCAGCAGCAGAGCGGCAGGGAUGCUCACACAAACACCAGAACCUGCUCCUUGGACAGCUAAACACGUACAACUCUUCUGUUCUGCCUUGGACAGCUCUCCCCUGAGCUCCUCAGGAGAACAGAACUGGCUCCACUCCUCUUUAUCCAUCGGCUGGACACUGGGGCCCUGGGACUCAGCUGCAGAAAGGCACAAGUGAAAACAAUUCCAGCUGAGACAAAAAAGCCUGCAUGCUUUAAUUGUCAAUACUUCUGCUAAAUAAAAUAAGGUUUUAUGCAUUUGUCUUUACAAAGUCCCAGCAGUAAAUCAGUAUCUGCUUUCAAAUGACAACACAAGCUAAGUAAUUCCCGCUGUCGAGAGCCGAUGGCAUCGCGUCAAUUAAAGACCAGAAGGAGAAGA
Non-coding RNA from Cyanistes caeruleus (blue tit), 407 nucleotides. The record is from RefSeq and is a predicted model, not a curated record. NCBI's taxonomy places the organism in Eukaryota, Metazoa, Chordata, Aves, Passeriformes, Paridae.